RNAcentral lists this long non-coding RNA (5690 nucleotides) under Olea europaea (common olive). Its description in RNAcentral is "long non-coding RNA (OEUR_LNC004163)". The record is from RNAcentral. Lineage: Eukaryota; Viridiplantae; Streptophyta; Magnoliopsida; Lamiales; Oleaceae.
CAUAAUCAUAAACAUCACUUGGAUGUCAUCUAACUAUUUACGUUCAAAAAGCAUUUUCAAUCAACUAAGGAAGUGUGGCUACAAUUUAUAAACUAUUAGGAAAACUUACGUAUGAUAAAUAGUAAGUUGGGACAUGAAUAUCACUUUAAAGAAAGGUGGGAAACUCUGAUGGUUUUUACCAAUAAGAGUAACAAUUCCAUCUAUCAAGGAAUAACUANUGGAAAGAUUUCAAUCUUAUUUCUGUAGAAUUUAAAAUGUAGUAUACAAAAGAUUAUUACACUACAAUGCGGAAUAAUAAACUCUCAAAGUGUAAAAUUGAACAAAAAACGACCCAAAGCUUCUUUAACACCACCAAUGAAGUGUUAUUGAUGUUGAGCUUAGAUUUGUGUCACACCGAAUCAUGCAUCGUCGUCCACGGGAAUGAUAAUGGAUAUAUCGAGAAAGAAUCCGUCGGAAGCCACCAAGAAUUUCGCUGGAGUUAUGGAAAGCUCCCACUUGGUUACCUCUUUAUUCUCUCUCUCUCUCAAAUAUUAUGCCAAGUCCAAGUAUGAGAGAAUCAAGAGGUCUUGUAAUUAUAGAGCCAAUUCAUUUGAAUUCAAAAUUCAAAUAUUGUAUUAUGGUCAAGAGAAUGACAACACUAGUAUAGGUAAUUGACCACAAGAUUAAAUCCAAUGAUUGGAUUUAAUUUAUGAUCCAUAUUACUCCAUAACUAAUACAAUUCAAGUCACAUUCUCUAGAUCAAUCAACUUGCACCAAUAAUAGGAUGUGAUCCACCUUACAAUUUCUUAUCACAUAAACUCGUCGUUACAGAUUGUCAAUGUUUUUUCUAAUCUUAUCAUUCCCCCUUUCCUUAAGUUCGAUAUAUGAUUGCUAAUGUAUUUUAAAUCAAAAUUUAGUCGGAACAAAGGUGGUUUUUUUAUGUUGUUUAUUAGAUUGUUGCUGUACAAGUCCAUUUUAUGAUUGCUGAAACAAAUUAAUUUCAAUUUUACAGCACGAACAUAGUGGGAUGGGCUGUCAUGGUAGCCAUGGGAUUUAAUGCAGCAAUAAGGUUAUUUUUGCCUCAAUCUAAUUGUAUCCUCUUUUACUUUGGAAAUUUACCUUUUCUACAGAUAUAAUCGAAGAACACUUUUUCUUGUAUACAGGAUCAUAAAUUUUUAUGUUGGUAGCAAAGUUUAACAUACAGAUGAAUAUUAAUGUAUCAUGCAGUGUAAGAGUGUCAAAUGAACUUGGCGCCGCUCAUCCAAGAACAGCUAAAUUUUCAGUGCUGGUGGUGGUUUUCUCUUCCUUCUCGUUCGGUCUCCUCCUCUCCCUCAUUCUCAUCAUUUUCCGGAAACAGUAUCCUUCCUUAUUUGCAGAUAGCGCCGAAGUUGAGAAACUUGUGUACGACCUCACACCAUUGCUGGCAUUUUGUGUUGUCAUCAACAAUAUUCAACCAGCUCUAUCAGGUACAUGCAAUUUAUACGUUUUUCCAUGAUAUCCUAUGAAUUAUGCGUUCGUCAUGAGACAUAAAUAUUAAUAGUGAGAAGUUUAUUUAUAUUACUCUUCUAUUUACGAAUUAGAAAGAUAAUGGCAUGUUUAUGGGCUACAAAUUAGAAAGAAGUAAGAUCUGAUAGUAUUCCAUCGAUAAACAUAUUGGUUGCAGGAGUUGCCAUCGGGGCUGGAUGGCAAGCUAUAGUUGCUUACGUGAAUAUUGCAUGCUAUUACUUGUUUGGCAUCCCUUUGGGGCUCGUAUUGGGAUUUAUCUUCGACAGGGGUGUUCAAGUAAGUUGUCAGUAAAAUAAAGUUCUAUAAUCCAAAACCAUUUACAGUUUCACAAUAACUUUUAUACUGAUGAUUUUUCAGGGCAUCUGGGUUGGAAUGACAAUGGGAACAAUUCUACAAACUAUAGUCCUCUUUUGGCUUGUUUACAGAACUAAUUGGAAGAAAGAGGUUUUAGUUCUUUCGUUUCUGUUUCUUUUUAUUGAGGACUAAGAUUUAAUUAUAUUCAUAAAUAUUUGCAUGAAUCUCUUUCUUUUCUGGUAUGAUGCAGGCUUCUGUUGCGUCACAAAGGAUCAAACGAUGGGGAGGGGAAGUACAAGAUAAAUCAAAUAAUGUAGAGCAAUGAAAAAAUUGUUGUUGAAGAAAAAUACACCUAUUGUAUAAUCAGGAGGAAUUUGGACUUGCUAUACAACUUACCAAAUUGGGUAGAGGACUCAAUUUUAGUCGACUUUUCUCUAAGUUUAUGUCCAAGGGAAAAUCUAAAUUUAUGUUUAAGAGAAAAUCUUUGUAUUUUUUAUUUUUAAUUAUCUUGCUAUUAUUAUUUUCUCUUGCAAUUUUUCUUUUUCAUUUUGUCUUUUCUUACAAUCUUUAGAAUCUUCUAUCAAAAAACUUCGAUACUGACAAAUAGAAGGUUCAAUGAUUUGUUUCUUGAUCUGUAAAGAAGAAUCAUCUUUAUUUCUAUUUAUUAUGGGUAAUAUGCGACUUUCUAUAACAACUAAUUUACCAGUUUCUCGAUUUUCAAAAUAAGUAUUAAUAAAUUCUUUAAAAUUUUCUAUUAAACAAUUGAAGAAGUAUAUUCAUCUAACGGCAUUAAAUAUUAAAAUUUUAAAAACAAUAUGUUUGUAAUGACCUUGUAGCACUUUACAGUUCGGCAAAUUAAUUUUUUCGGAUUAUAAAUUGAUCUUUUUUUUUUUUUUUUUUUAAACUCUAUCUUAACUUUUCUUCUUAACCUCCUAACAGAAGACUCAAGACUAUAACAAAAAAGAUUUUCAUCAUGUUUAAAAAUGUUUAAACAAACUUCCUUAAUUGGUAUACAAAAUUGUUAGGAUUUUUACCAAUCUCCUAUGUCCCAGGAAACAAUGAUCUUCACAGAUUUGCAUGACAAACAGGAGAGAAAAUGCAGCAGAAAUGGUAGAAUAUAAAACUAGCAAAGAACUCAGAUAAAUGGACACUAGAAUAGCUUGUUUUAGGGACUAAAUUUCAUCAACCAAUGCAGGGAAUUUAACCCCCAGUCAAUCUGCCAUUACAAGAGGAAAUAUUACAGUGCUUAUCUUACACAAAACAACACCACUCAUCACCCAACCAGGAAUAACUAGAAAGCUUCCAUAAAGUUUACAAAGAUUGCCUGCAGAGAGCUCUCUCUCUCAAUCCUACUUUCGCUCUCUACAGAAAAUGUGCUCCCCAUAUUUUCUUGCCCACCCCCUUUCACGUAUCAGACCUAGUCCUAUUUAUAGCCACAGAUCAAGAGACUUACAAGAAUAUGUGUGUAAUAUUCAGCUAAAAUCACUACCAGAAAAUUAGUUAGAACCAAAGGCUCCUAACUGAUUUUCUAACUCACUAACUAAUCCAACUAAGGAGUUUAAUAACCGAAUCAAGAAUCAAUAUUUUCUCUACAAUCUCCACCUUUGAGUCUUGAUGAGUGUUGUUAAACCAAGAUUGACUAAAAAAUUUCAAUAACACCCUACAUGAUUGAUCAUCCGGUUUUAACCUUUAGCAAUCCAAUGCUCCAUGCAUCUUGCUAACUGGAUUAUUUUUGGUGAGCAAAACAGCAGAUAAACUUCAGUGGCUACCUUGACAACUUCAACUUCCCUCUUGGAAAUUACUUCUUGCACACAAAAGACUUCAAAUUUCUCCUGCUUGUGGCACUUUGGACAGUCAAGACUUCCUCUAACUUCAGCUUCAUCAUCUGCAUCCUCUUUUUGCAGAUUACCAGAUCCACCUUCUUGUUCAUUUUUCUGGUUAUUUUCUUGUGAUGUGUCCAACACAACCUGCUCCUCUUUGUUUUCAAACAUGGCAGCUUCAUUGACUUUAUUCACCUGCAAAACACAAAGUAGUCCCUUCACCACAACCAAGAAUCCUUUCAUAACAUCUAGUUCUUUACCAAAUAUUUUAUAUUUACAGCUUAGAAACGUGGUACUUUAUGUCCUUAGUCCUAUUUGCUGGAUACUUGAAGAACGCAGAAGUGGCAGUCGAUGUUUUAUCUAUAUGGUGAGUUGAUUUAUUAUUGUCCACACAAUAUACAACUUGCUUAAUUUGUUUUCUUUUUGUGUAAUUAUCUUUGUUUUUAUUUGCUUUUUUUAUUAGUCAUUUUUUUAGAACCGUCAAUUUAGGUGAUAGGAUAAAGUGAUAGCGCAUAACAUUAGAAAAAUUAUUUAUAUUUUAAAAAAUAGAUAUUGUAUUUAUAACUAAUUUAUAUAUGAUAGAAUAGUCACCUAGAGAAAAGAAAUAUAAUCGUGGAAAAAGAAAUUAUGAUAUAUUUAUAUAAUGAAAUGAUGAUAUAUCAUAUUUUAAUCAAAUUCUAUGGAAAUUGGAUUUUUAUUUUUUUGGAAAAUCAAGCUAUAUGGAAAUUUCAUGUUAAGUUAAUAUAAAGUAUUAUUCAUAGGUUUUUUUAUUAGAAUGUAAAAUGUUAACAAGUUUAAAAAAUAAUAGGCACUGGGUUUUAAUCAAGUGGCAUUGAAAAUUACAUAUUGACACAUCAAAAGAUAAUUAAAUUUAACAUAUUGAUUUAGUAUAAAAAUUUAUUUAUCCAGAAUCUAAUAAUUUAGUUAUUUAAUGAACUAGAAAUACUAAUUUCAAGUAAAAUUUCAUUUAAAUUAUCUUAUGACAUAUUCAACACAAUCAAAUAUCUAAGUCAUUUUUAAGUUAUCUUAAUAAUUUACUGCCUUGAAAUUUUUAUUAUAUUGUAAAUCUUUUAGAUAAAAUCUAACUUUACUUCUACGUUUUGUUUCUUGGAUAAUUUAAUUAAAGUUUCAUAACGAUUUUAAUAUUUUAGAAGUUUAAUUUUGUUGUGUGAUUGAAUUUUAAAAUUAUACCUUGUCACUUUUUUUUCUCGAAGAUCUUCUUUCUUUGUUUCGCUUUUAACACGAAAUUUUUGUGCAGAAAUAUUUCUCAUACCACUUUUCAAUGAAAUAACUCUAAAAUGAUUUUUUACGACGAACAUCUUUAGCAUUUAAAGUGAAACUUGUAGCAUAUACUACCAAUUUGGAAAGAUUUCAAUCUUAUUUCUGUAGAAUUUAAAAUGUAGUAUACAAAAGAUUAUUACACUACAAUGCGGAAUAAUAAACUAUCAAAGUGUAAAAUUGAACAAAAAACGACCCAAAGCUUCUUUAACACCACCAAUGAAGUGUUAUUGAUGUUGAGCUUAGAUUUGUGUCACACCGAAUCAUGCAUCGUCGUCCACGGGAAUAAUAAUGGAUAUAUCGAGAAAGAAUCCGUCGGAAGCCACCAAGAAUUUCGCUGGAGUUAUGGAAAGCUCCCACUUGGUUACCUCUUUAUUCUCUCUCUCUCUCAAAUAUUAUGCCAAGUCCAAGUAUGAGAGAAUCAAGAGGUCUUGUAAUUAUAGAGCCAAUUCAUUUGAAUUCAAAAUUCAAAUAUUGUAUUAUGGUCAAGAGAAUGACAACACUAGUAUAGGUAAUUGACCACAAGAUUAAAUCCAAUGAUUGGAUUUAAUUUAUGAUCCAUAUUACUCCAUAACUAAUACAAUUCAAGUCACAUUCUCUAGAUCAAUCAACUUGCACCAAUAAUAGGAUGUGAUCCACCUUACAAUUUCUUAUCACAUAAACUCGUCGUUACAGAUUGUCAAUGUUUUUUCUAAUCUUAUCAUUCCCCCUUUCCUUAAGUUCGAUAUAUGAUUGCUAAUGUAUUUUAAAUCAAAAUUUAGUCGGAACAAAGGUGGUUUUUUUAUGUUGUUUAUUAGAUUGUUGCUGUACAAG